UUCUCUUGAAUUUUUUCUUGGGUUGAUUGUUUUCAUGUCCAACUUUAUUGUACUUUUUGGAGUUGUAGUCAUCUUCUAUAAUAUUUGCUCCAUUCGUUGUAGAAUUUCCUCUUGACCUCUUUCUGCAGCCUUAUUGUCUUCUUCAAUGCGCAAUCUAACGAUUAGAUCUUCGACAAACAUCUCCUUACCUUUGUGCUUCAAAUAGUUUUUGAAGUCUUUCCACAUAGGUGGUAGCUUCUCUAUUGUUGCUACUACUUGAAACGCUUCAUUCACG
Molecule: long non-coding RNA, 274 nt
Filed under: Capsicum annuum
Lineage: Eukaryota; Viridiplantae; Streptophyta; Magnoliopsida; Solanales; Solanaceae
Description: long non-coding RNA (CANN_LNC019789)
Source: RNAcentral